RNAcentral lists this unclassified non-coding RNA (328 nucleotides) under soil metagenome. RNAcentral's name for it is "partial contains 5.8S ribosomal RNA, internal transcribed spacer 2, and large subunit ribosomal RNA". The stretch from base 1 to 120 matches the Rfam family "5.8S ribosomal RNA", at positions 35 to 154 of the family's 154-position model. The record is from RNAcentral.
GAUGAAGAACGUAGCGAAAUGCGAUAAGUAGUGUGAAUUGCAGAAUUCAGUGAAUCAUCGAAUCUUUGAACGCACAUUGCGCCCCUUGGUAUCCCGAGGGGCAUGCCUGUUCGAGCGUCAUUUCACCACUCAAGCCUGGCUUGGUGUUGGGCGACGUCCUCUUUGGGGACGCGCCUCGAAACGCUCGGCGGCGUGGCACCGGCUUUAAGCGUAGCAGAAUCUUUCGCUUUGGAAGUCGGGGCCCCGUCUGCCGGAGACCUGCUCGCAAGGUUGACCUCGGAUCAGGCAGGGAUACCCGCUGAACUUAAGCAUAUCAAUAAGCGGAGGA